This 707-nucleotide ribosomal RNA is filed under the name uncultured bacterium. RNAcentral's name for it is "bacterial SSU rRNA". It matches the Rfam family "Bacterial small subunit ribosomal RNA", at positions 74 to 792 of the family's 1533-position model. The record is from RNAcentral.
GCUCCUUCGGGAGUACUCGAGCGGCGAAAGGGAGAGUAACGCGUGGAUAUCUACCCCCUGGACUGGGAUAGCGGCGGGAAACUGCCGGUAAUACCGGAUAAAGUCUGCGGACCAAAGGUGUGACUCCGCCGGGGGAUGAGUCCGCGUCCUAUUAGCUUGUUGGUGGGGUAAUGGCCUACCAAGGCCGAGAUGGGUACCGGGUGUGAGAGCAUGGCCCGGCUCACUGGGACUGAGACACUGCCCAGACACCUACGGGUGGCUGCAGUCGAGAAUCUUCGGCAAUGGGCGCAAGCCUGACCGAGCGACGCCGCGUGCGGGAUGAAGGCCUUCGGGUUGUAAACCGCUGUCAGAGGGGAGGAAAUGCGUGGGGGUUCUCCCCCAUGUUUGACCUAUCCUCAGAGGAAGUACGGGCUAAGUUCGUGCCAGCAGCCGCGGUAAUACGAACCGUACGAACGUUAUUCGGAAUCACUGGGCUUAAAGAGUGCGUAGGCGGCCAAGCAAGUUGGGUGUGAAAUCCCUCGGCUCAACCGAGGAACUGCGCUCAAAACUGCUUGGCUUGAGAAAGAUAGAGGUGAGCGGAACUAAUGGUGGAGCGGUGAAAUGCGUUGAUAUCCUAAGGAACACCAGUGGCGAAGGCGCCGCUCUGGGCCGUAACUGACGCUGAGGAGCGAAAGCAUGGGUAGCAAACAGGAUUAGAUACCCUGGUA